AUUGCAAAAAUGCCUUUUUAAUUUUUUUUUCACAUCGAAAUGAAGGUUUCUAAAAGUUUAAAAAUUGAGGUACUUUUUGUGGAUGAAAAUUGGUCAAUUUGUUGGUGAAAUAUUGUAAUUUGUUUAUAUCAACAGACAUGAAUAAUUAUUGUCAUAAUUUUUUAUUUAUUUAUUAAUAGUGUAAUUAAUAUCUUUUUUGUCUAUUUCUGCAGAUCGUUCAACAACUGAGAGAGAAAAUUCAAGUUGAUUGUAUCGAAACAACUAAUGUCUACAAUGAUGUUGUCGUUCUUGGACUAUAUUCUUGAUUUGCUGUUUUCGUCUUCACUUGUCAGCAUCAUGCAGUAAAUUUUCAACAGAUAAAUGAGAUCAAGAGGAAGGUUAUUUGAAUUCCACUGAAAGGACAAGCUUUCUGCUAGGGUAUUCUUCCUGGAUUUGGUUUGCUUUUUACACCUGCAAACAUUGGAACAUGGCAGUCUACUGUUCGUUAAGAUUAGCCUGUUAUUGAAAGCAUAUUGAAGUUUCCUUGGAUAUUACUGAGUGUCCCCAAAUGGAUCGUGUACGGUGAUGUGUUCUUACUACACUUCGUUUACCCUUGUCGUCUUCACAUGGAAAAAUUUUCUACAUAAAUAAUAAUAAGUAAAUAGAUUGACUGAUGAAUGAGAGAAUAUUGGUUUAUUUGGGCCUUGCUGUAUCAACCAAUUGUCUGCAAUGGUAUUCGUUUUCCUGGACUUGAUAUACUGUUGACAUUUUCACCUUGCAUUUGGAAAUUUAUUUAUUUAUUCACAUAUUUCAACUUUGGAACGUGACAUUCUGCAAUUAAUUAAGAUUAGCCUGUUAUUGAAAGAAUAUUGAAGUUUCCUUGGAUAUUACUGAGUGUCCCCAAAUGGAUCGUGUACGGUGAUGUGUUCUUACUGCACUUCGUUUACCCUCGUCUUCACAUGGAAAAAUUUUCUACAUAUUUAAGAUCGUCCAACAGAUGAGAGAAAAUUAAAGUUCAGGUUGAUCACAUUGAAGCAACCAAUAACUGGUGUUGUCUUUCUUGGACUGUAUUCUGGAUUUGCUGUUUUCAUCUUCACCUUGCAACAUUAUGCAGUUAAUUUUCAACAGAUAAGUGAGAACAAGAGAAGAUUUUCUUCAAUUCCACUAAAAGAGCAAGUUUUCUUCUUUGGCAUUUUCACUGCAUUUGGUUUGCUUUGCUAUUCACACCUGCAAACUUUGGAAUGUUACAAUCUACAGUUAAUUAAGAUCGACGUUGGAGAAGACAAAAAUGACCCCAUAGUUGAUAUAGUUCUCUAUCUUGCAUGCUCUAUAUAGUAGAAUUCAUCAAGUUUGUUUUAUUCAAAUUAGUUUUUUAUUUUGCAUGUUUUUUUUGUAGUUAAUUUGAAAUAGUUUUUAUU
Molecule: long non-coding RNA, 1397 nt
Organism: Agrilus planipennis (emerald ash borer)
Lineage: Eukaryota; Metazoa; Arthropoda; Insecta; Coleoptera; Buprestidae
Exons: 6
Source: RefSeq, a predicted model, not a curated record